AACGAACGCUGGCGGCAGGCUUAACACAUGCAAGUCGAACGCCCCGCAAGGGGAGUGGCAGACGGGUGAGUAACGCGUGGGAAUCUACCCAGUUCUACGGAACAACUGAGGGAAACUUCAGCUAAUACCGUAUACGCCCUACGAGGGAAAGAUUUAUCGGAAUUGGAUGAGACCGCGUUGGAUUAGCUAGUUGGUGAGGUAACGGCUCACCAAGGCGACGAUCCAUAGCUGGUCUGAGAGGAUGAUCAGCCACACUGGGACUGAGACACGGCCCAGACUCCUACGGGAGGCAGCAGUGGGGAAUAUUGGACAAUGGGCGCAAGCCUGAUCCAGCCAUGCCGCGUGAGUGAUGAAGGCCUUAGGGUUGUAAAGCUCUUUCAGUGGGGACGAUAAUGACGGUACCCACAGAAGAAGCCCCGGCUAACUUCGUGCCAGCCGCCGCAGUAA
This 447-nucleotide ribosomal RNA is filed under the name uncultured bacterium. Its description in RNAcentral is "partial 16S ribosomal RNA". It matches the Rfam family "Bacterial small subunit ribosomal RNA", at positions 29 to 523 of the family's 1533-position model. The record is from RNAcentral.